UGGGGAAUAUUGGACAAUGGGCGCAAGCCUGAUCCAGCAAUGCCGCGUGAGUGAUGAAGGCCUUAGGGUUGUAAAGCUCUUUCGCACGCGACGAUGAUGACGGUAGCGUGAGAAGAAGCCCCGGCUAACUUCGUGCCAGCAGCCGCGGUAAUACGAAGGGGGCUAGCGUUGUUCGGAAUUACUGGGCGUAAAGGGCGCGUAGGCGGCCUGUUUAGUCAGAAGUGAAAGCCCCGGGCUCAACCUGGGAAUAGCUUUUGAUACUGGCAGGCUUGAGUUCCGGAGAGGAUGGUGGAAUUCCCAGUGUAGAGGAUGAAAUUCGUAGAUAUUGGGAAGAACACCGUGGCGAAGGCGGCCNUCUGGACGGACACUGACGCUGAGGCGCGAAAGCGUGGGGAGCAAACAGGAUUAGAUACCCUGGUNGUCCACGCCGUAAACGAUGAAUGCUAGACGUCGGGGUGCAUGCACUUCGGUGUCGCCGCU
Molecule: ribosomal RNA, 480 nt
Filed under: uncultured bacterium
Lineage: Bacteria
Description: partial 16S ribosomal RNA
Rfam family: Bacterial small subunit ribosomal RNA
Source: RNAcentral